This 463-nucleotide ribosomal RNA is filed under the name uncultured bacterium. RNAcentral's name for it is "partial 16S ribosomal RNA". It matches the Rfam family "Bacterial small subunit ribosomal RNA", at positions 29 to 506 of the family's 1533-position model. The record is from RNAcentral.
ACGAACGCUGGCGGCGUGCUUCACACAUGCAAGUCGAACGGAAAGGCCCCUUUGGGGGUACUCGAGUGGCGAACGGGUGAGUAACACGUGAGUAACCUGCCCUUGACUUCGGGAUAACUUCAGGAAACUGGGGCUAAUACCGGAUAGGAAUCCUUGCUGCAUGGUGGGGGUUGGAAAGCUUCGGCGGUUUUGGAUGGACUCGCGGCUUAUCAGCUUGUUGGUGGGGUAGUGGCUUACCAAGGCUUUGACGGGUAGCCGGCCUGAGAGGGCGACCGGCCACAUUGGGACUGAGAUACGGCCCAGACUCCUACGGGAGGCAGCAGUGGGGAAUAUUGCACAAUGGGCGGAAGCCUGAUGCAGCAACGCCGCGUGCGGGAUGACGGCCUUCGGGUUGUAAACCGCUUUCAGCAGGGGCGAAGCUUGUGGUGACGGUACCUGCAGAAGAAGCACCGGCUAACUACGU